This 467-nucleotide ribosomal RNA is filed under the name uncultured bacterium. RNAcentral describes it as "partial 16S ribosomal RNA". It matches the Rfam family "Bacterial small subunit ribosomal RNA", at positions 28 to 507 of the family's 1533-position model. The record is from RNAcentral.
GACGAACGCUGGCGGCGUGCUUACCCCUGCCCGUCGAACGGAAAGGCCCUGCUUUUGUGGGGUGCUCGAGUGGCGAACGGGUGAGUAACACGUGAGUAACCUGCCCUUGACUUUGGGAUAACUUCAGGAAACUGGGGCUAAUACCGGAUAGGAGCUCCUGCUGCAUGGUGGGGGUUGGAAAGUUUCGGCGGUUGGGGAUGGACUCGCGGCUUAUCAGCUUGUUGGUGGGGUAGUGGCUUACCAAGGCUUUGACGGGUAGCCGGCCUGAGAGGGUGACCGGCCACAUUGGGACUGAGAUACGGCCCAGACUCCUACGGGAGGCAGCAGUGGGGAAUAUUGCACAAUGGGCGGAAGCCUGAUGCAGCAACGCCGCGUGCGGGAUGACGGCCUUCGGGUUGUAAACCGCUUUCGCCUGUGACGAAGCGUGAGUGACGGUAAUGGGUAAAGAAGCACCGGCUAACUACGUG